GCGGAAAUGACGGAAUGGCAGACGUGCAAGAUUGAGGGUCUUGUGAGCAAUCGCUCGUGUGGGUUCAAAUCCCAUUUUCCGCA
Transfer RNA from Enterococcus casseliflavus EC20, 83 nucleotides. It matches the Rfam family "tRNA". Rfam says of the family: Transfer RNA (tRNA) molecules are approximately 80 nucleotides in length. Their secondary structure includes four short double-helical elements and three loops (D, anti-codon, and T loops). The record is from Rfam. Lineage: Bacteria; Bacillati; Bacillota; Bacilli; Lactobacillales; Enterococcaceae.